This is a small nuclear RNA of Manis pentadactyla (Chinese pangolin), 164 nucleotides long. RefSeq annotates it as U1 spliceosomal RNA. The transcript has a single exon. Lineage: Eukaryota; Metazoa; Chordata; Mammalia; Pholidota; Manidae. The record is from RefSeq and is a predicted model, not a curated record.
AUACUUUCCUGGCAGGGGAGAUUCUAUGGUCAUAAAAGUGGUUUUCCCAGGUCAAGGCUUAUUCAUUGCACUCCAGACUUGCUGACCCCUGCAAUUUCCCCAAAUGUGGGAAACUCGACAGCAUAAUUUGUGGUAGUGGGGGACUGUGUUCACGCUUUCCCCAC